RNAcentral lists this small RNA (754 nucleotides) under Pan troglodytes (chimpanzee). Its description in RNAcentral is "processed transcript". Lineage: Eukaryota; Metazoa; Chordata; Mammalia; Primates; Hominidae. The record is from RNAcentral.
GCGCAGCCGGGGCUGGCGGGCGGCAGGGUCCGCGGGGCCGCAGGAGAUGACGGCCGGCGGCCAGGCCGAGGCCGAGGGCGCUGGCGGGGAGCCCGGCGCGGCGCGGCUGCCCUCGCGGGUGGCCCGGCUGCUGUCGGCGCUCUUCUACGGGACCUGCUCCUUCCUCAUCGUGCUUGUCAACAAGGCGCUGCUGACCACCUACGGUUUCAAGCAUACUGAAAACGGGAAAGCAAAGGAGGAGUGAACAGGGCACACACAGUACUGGGAUUCCCCUCCAGCCUUUGAAAUUUCCCGUCACCAAUUUUCCUUGGAAUUGGACAGAUGGCAGCCACCAUAAUGAUACUAUAUGUGUCCAAGCUAAACAAAAUCAUUCACUUCCCUGAUUUUGAUAAGAAAAUUCCUGUAAAGCUGUUUCCUCUGCCUCUCCUCUACGUUGGAAACCACAUAAGUGGAUUAUCAAGCACAAGUAAAUUAAGUGAUGGGGUCUUUCAAUGUUGCUGUGUUACCCAGACUCAAAUGCAGUAGCUUUCACUGGUGCAAUCAUGGCUCACUGUGGCCUCAAACUCCUGGGCUCAAAUGAUUCUCCAUCUCAGCCUCUUGAGUACCUGGGACUGCAGCCUACCGAUGUUCACCGUGCUCAGGAAAUUCACCAUUCCACUUACCUUACUUCUGGAAACCAUCAUACUUGGGAAGCAGUAUUCACUCAACAUCAUCCUCAGUGUCUUUGCCAUUAUUCUCGGGGCUUUCAUAGCAG